UGAAUUGAAGUCAAAAAGAGACAAAUUAUUGUUAAUAAUUUAAAUGAUUACUAAUCCAAUUCAA
RNAcentral lists this transfer RNA (64 nucleotides) under Agonoscena pistaciae. RNAcentral describes it as "tRNA-Asn". The record is from RNAcentral. Lineage: Eukaryota; Metazoa; Arthropoda; Insecta; Hemiptera; Aphalaridae.